CCUACGGGUGGCAGCAGUGAGGAAUAUUGGUCAAUGGACGAGAGUCUGAACCAGCCAAGUAGCGUGAAGGAUGACUGCCCUAUGGGUUGUAAACUUCUUUUAUCUGGGAAUAAAACGUUCCACGUGUGGGAUUUUGUAUGUACCAUAUGAAUAAGGAUCGGCUAACUCCGUGCCAGCAGCCGCCGUAAUACGGAGGAUCCGAGCGUUAUCCGGAUUUAUUGGGGUUUAAGGGAGCGUAGGUGGAUUGUUAAGUCAGUUGUGAAAGUUUGCGGCUCAACCGUAAAAUUGCAGUUGAAACUGGCAGUCUUGAGUACAGUAGAGGUGGGCGGAAUGCGUGGUGUAGCGGUGAAAUGCUUAGAUAUCACGAAGAACUCCGAUUGCGAAGGCAGUUCACUGGACUGCAACUGACACUGAGGCUCGAAAGUGUGGGUAUCAAACAGGAUUAGAUACCCCAGUAGUC
This 460-nucleotide ribosomal RNA is filed under the name uncultured bacterium. Its description in RNAcentral is "partial 16S ribosomal RNA". It matches the Rfam family "Bacterial small subunit ribosomal RNA", at positions 338 to 795 of the family's 1533-position model. The record is from RNAcentral.